This 271-nucleotide long non-coding RNA is filed under the name Homo sapiens (human). RNAcentral describes it as "HSALNT0240220". The record is from RNAcentral. Lineage: Eukaryota; Metazoa; Chordata; Mammalia; Primates; Hominidae.
CGGGGCCAGGGGACCGGGGGCGGGGCCUGGAGGGGAGCCAGUGCUCAGCCCUUGAAAAGGCGGCGCCAUCCUAAGGAGGGACACAGGUGAGCUCUGAGAAGAGAGGCGGGACUUGGGGAGCCACAGGUGUGAAGACCUGGGGCGGAGCCUGAGGCUGGGGUCGAGGCCACACGGGUCAGGAGAGAAGGGCGGAAGUUGCGGUUUGAUCCACCGCCCAAUUCCUUUCCUGGGAUCUUCAGAGUUAUAGAAAUUUGAGGUCAAGACAGACCUG